RNAcentral lists this ribosomal RNA (464 nucleotides) under uncultured bacterium. RNAcentral describes it as "bacterial SSU rRNA". It matches the Rfam family "Bacterial small subunit ribosomal RNA", at positions 28 to 477 of the family's 1533-position model. The record is from RNAcentral.
GACGAACGCUGGCGGCGUGCUUAACACAUGCAAGUCGAACGGGAUCCAGCCAGUGGCAACACUGGGGAAGAUCUAGUGGCGAACGGGUGAGUAACACGUGAGGAACCUGCCCCAGACUCUGGGAUAACAGCCCGAAAGGGCUGCUAAUACCGGAUACCUUCGCUUGGUCGCAUGGCCGGGUGAAGAAAGUUUUUCGGUUGGGAGGGCCUCGCGGCCUAUCAGCUUGUUGGUGGGGUAACGGCCCACCAAGGCUCCGACGGGUAGCUGGUCUGAGAGGACGACCAGCCACACUGGGACUGAGACACGGCCCAGACUCCUGCGGGAGGCAGCAGUGGGGAAUCUUGCGCAAUGGGCGCAAGCCUGAUCCAGCCAUGCCGCGUGCGGGACGAAGGGCCUUCGGGUUGUAAACCGCUUUCUAGCCGGAAGAAAUACGCCGUUUUAAUACUAGACGGUGGAUGACGGUA